Molecule: non-coding RNA, 1068 nt
Organism: Callithrix jacchus (white-tufted-ear marmoset)
Lineage: Eukaryota; Metazoa; Chordata; Mammalia; Primates; Cebidae
Source: RefSeq, a predicted model, not a curated record
GCAACAUGUAAGCCCUUUGGUUCAUACUGGAGGAAAACAGAGCAUUUAGAGGAGGAGGACCUCAUGGAGCCCUUCUCAACUGCACAGGACCAGAGAUGCUUGAGCUACAUCCAUCAUCAAAGCAAAAUCCCUGUCCUCCAGGGGCUUACAUUCCAGAGAAUUGGUGGGGGAGGUAGAGGACAAUGGACUCAGAAAACAAUGGACUCAGAAAUCUCAAAGAGACAGAGAAUGUUAACGGUGGUGCUGGCUGCCAGAAAUUUCUGCAUAUCAACAGUAAAGAGCUCCUUAUUAUCUCGACAUACUUGGAAUAAGCACAGCCGUUUUUUUUUUCCUCUUCCCAGAAUUUAAUAAAGGCCAGAAAUUCCACAGGGCAUCUGACUCAACUUCUAUCUUCUCUUUUCUCUUGUUUCUGACCCCCCUCCCCAACACCAUAACCUUGAAAGGGCAGGAUCGGAUGCUCCAUAGCCAGGCAUGAAGCUGCUGCUGCACCUAGUGCCCAGGAGUCCCCUGACCUCUUUCAGGCCAGGGUCCACCUGCACACCCCACCGAGGGGUCAACUUUGUACUCAGGAGACUGGGAAGUGAGCAGGGGAGGGCCUACCUAGGACAGAAGUCAGGCAGCCAGGGUUCAUAUCUGCUUCUCCACUUAUCUACUAUUGGCAAAGGAGUUACCUUCUCCGAGACUCAGUUUUCUCACACCUAAAAGACCUGUGUCAAAAGUUUCUUCCUCUUAGAGUGGAUGUAAGGAUUGAAUGGGUAAUGUGCAGAGAGCACUUCAUAAACAAUAGCUAAUGACUGCAUCUUCAUUAAUGUGGAGCACUUGCCCUCUUCCAACUACUGCGGAAGGAUCCAGGAUCCUGAACUAAAUUAGAUAUGUGCCAGGCCCGCAGAGACCACCCCGGCAAGGAGACAGACAAGGAAACAGGAGGCUUUGGGUUUUGCAUGAUUAAAUGCGUGAUUCAAUUAAAUGUGUGAUUCAAGAUAGAGAGGAAGGUGGGAUUAACCCUUUACAAAGAGUUCAAGACAGUUUCACAGAGGAAAGGGACCCCUAAAACGGCUGUCAAGGUUG